RNAcentral lists this long non-coding RNA (300 nucleotides) under Elaeis guineensis (African oil palm). Its description in RNAcentral is "long non-coding RNA (EGUI_LNC048514)". The record is from RNAcentral. Lineage: Eukaryota; Viridiplantae; Streptophyta; Magnoliopsida; Arecales; Arecaceae.
UUGGAUCCACUAGAGAAAAAAGAGAGAGAAGAAAGAAUGAGAGAAGAAAGAGAGAGAAGAGAGAGCUCUCUUCUCUUCUUCUUCAAUAUAGGGGAACUCCCCCAUCUCUUCUUCUCAAACAUGGUAGCAAGAACACCGGAGGGUAGUAGCCUAGGGCUACAUUUGGCAGUGGCAACAAUGACAGCCUUGGCAAUGGCUACAGCAAGUGGUGGUCGGCAAAAAUUAAGAAAAAAAACAUGAAACAAGCAAGAACCUAUUCUUUCCAAUCUACGAACAAACAAUGCAAUGGUGAUACUCAUG